GAUACUGGCGGACGGGUGAGUAACACGUGGGUAACCUGCCUGUAAGACUGGGAUAACUCCGGGAACCGGGGCUAAUACCGGAUGCUUGAUUGAACCGCAUGGUUCAAACAUAAAAGGUGGCUUCGGCUACCACUUACAGAUGGACCCGCGGCGCAUUAGCUAGUUGGUGAGGUAAUGGCUCACCAAGGCAACGAUGCGUAGCCGACCUGAGAGGGUGAUCGGCCAACACUGGGACUGAGACACGGCCCAGACUCCUACGGGAGGCAGCAGUAGGGAAUCCUUCCGCAAUGGACGAAAGUCUGACGGAGCAACGCCGCGUGAGUGAUGAAGGUUUUCGGAUCGAAAGCUCUGUUGUAGGGAAGAACAAGUACCGUUCGAAUAGGGCGUACCUUGAGGUACCUAACCAGAAAGCCACG
This 416-nucleotide ribosomal RNA is filed under the name Bacillus subtilis. Its description in RNAcentral is "bacterial SSU rRNA". It matches the Rfam family "Bacterial small subunit ribosomal RNA", at positions 91 to 495 of the family's 1533-position model. The record is from RNAcentral. Lineage: Bacteria; Bacillati; Bacillota; Bacilli; Caryophanales; Bacillaceae.